Molecule: ribosomal RNA, 411 nt
Filed under: Mandarina sp. B AD-2007
Lineage: Eukaryota; Metazoa; Mollusca; Gastropoda; Stylommatophora; Camaenidae
Description: partial 16S ribosomal RNA
Source: RNAcentral
AGCUUUGAGCUAAAUAUAUUAUAAUAUUAGUUAUUUUAUAAAGGUGUCGUAAAACCUUAUUAAAAACUAUAUUUAGGGGUGAUAGGCUUUUCAAAAACUAAGAUAUCUUGAAUCUAAUUAAAAGUAUUUAGUACAAUUAACACGACUAUUAAGUGAUUAGGCUUUAUAGGAUUAUUAAACCUUAAGAUAUUUUAUUUAUUAUAAUUUAAUAAUUAAGUAUAUAUAUAAAAUAACAUUCAUAUAUUUUUAUUUUAUAAAGAGUAAUUAGAUAGAAAAAAGUUUAUUAUUAAUUGUAAUAAUGUUAAUAUUAGUAUAUAAUUUAUAUUUAUAUGAUGAACUCGGCAAAAAUGCUUCUCAACUGUUUAUCAAAAACAUAACAAUGUGAAAAAAUACAUAGCGAUUUCUGCUCAA